RNAcentral lists this ribosomal RNA (253 nucleotides) under uncultured bacterium. RNAcentral describes it as "partial 16S ribosomal RNA". It matches the Rfam family "Bacterial small subunit ribosomal RNA", at positions 524 to 776 of the family's 1533-position model. The record is from RNAcentral.
UACGGAGGGGGCUAGCGUUGUUCGGAAUUACUGGGCGUAAAGCGCACGUAGGCGGCUUGGAAAGUCAGAGGUGAAAUCCCAGGGCUCAACCUUGGAACUGCCUUUGAAACUCCCAGUCUUGAGGUCGAGAGAGGUGAGUGGAAUUCCGAGUGUAGAGGUGAAAUUCGUAGAUAUUCGGAGGAACACCAGUGGCGAAGGCGGCUCACUGGCUCGAUACUGACGCUGAGGUGCGAAAGCGUGGGGAGCAAACAGG